Long non-coding RNA from Melospiza georgiana, 623 nucleotides. RefSeq lists it as uncharacterized. The record is from RefSeq and is a predicted model, not a curated record. NCBI's taxonomy places the organism in Eukaryota, Metazoa, Chordata, Aves, Passeriformes, Passerellidae. The transcript is spliced from 12 exons.
CGCGGCCAUGAGGGUCCCGUGUCCCUCAGGGGCCCCGCCGUUCAACAUGUAUCAGCUGCAUUCUUCCUUCCUGUGGCUUCAGUGCAGAUCUGCCUCCAAAUGUGGGGACCUAAUACUGCUUCUUUCCAAGGAUUUGAACCCUGCACUUCAGAGGGAUGCAGAAGGAGCAUCAUCACCUGGCACUGGGAGAUUGAACUAUAGCCUGUCACAAGGCUGCCCUUGACAGAUAAGCCCCCAUGCCUUUUGUGUGAGAAACCAUUUCACCUGUUACUGGUGUUGGUGAAGACAAGGCCUUCCUAAUUAAAGGCUUCCAAAUGUUUCUCAUUGUGAGGUGUGAUGGAGCUGGGACCUGAUGGACCUGGGAGUGCUGCCAGCAACAGGUGAUGCUUGCAUGGAGUUUGAGAAACAAGAUAAAUGUGCCUGAGGAAGGGACUGUGCUGUGGCUGCGGCCUCACUGGGGGGAGAGGCAACUCUGAAACUAGCACAUGAAGAAUUAAGAAGGUGGAAGAUUGGAUGAAUGGGUACACUUGCAUGAACAGCAUUUUAAAAGCCAAUUUGUUUUUAACCUCACUGGUAAUGUUUGCCUGAUGUUGAUUGGAGUGAAUAAAAAUCUGUAAACUCUA